ACAGCAGCAGCCGCGGUAACACGGAGGGUGCAAGCGUUAAUCGGAAUUACUGGGCGUAAAGCGCACGCAGGCGGUUUGUUAAGUCAGAUGUGAAAUCCCCGAGCUUAACUUGGGAACUGCAUUUGAAACUGGCAAGCUAGAGUCUUGUAGAGGGGGGUAGAAUUCCAGGUGUAGCGGUGAAAUGCGUAGAGAUCUGGAGGAAUACCGGUGGCGAAGGCGGCCCCCUGGACAAAGACUGACGCUCAGGUGCGAAAGCGUGGGGAGCAAACAGGAUUAGAUACCCCGGUAGUCCCUGUCUCUUAUAA
Molecule: ribosomal RNA, 305 nt
Filed under: uncultured bacterium
Lineage: Bacteria
Description: partial 16S ribosomal RNA
Rfam family: Bacterial small subunit ribosomal RNA
Source: RNAcentral